AUACGGAGGAUCCAAGCGUUAUCCGGAAUCAUUGGGUUUAAAGGGUCCGUAGGCGGAUAGAUUAGUCAGCGGUGAAAGUUUGUGGCUUAACCAUAAAAUUGCCGUUGAUACUGUCUAUCUUGAAUAAGUGUGAAGUGGUUAGAAUGAGUAGUGUAGCGGUGAAAUGCAUAGAUAUUACUCGGAAUACCAAUUGCGAAGGCAGAUCACUAACACUUUAUUGACGCUGAGGGACGAAAGCGUGGGGAGCAAACAGGAUUAGAUACCCUGGUAGUCCACGCCGUAAACGAUGGAUACUAGUUGCUCGAGCUACAUUGGUAGUUUGAGUGACUAAGCGAAAGUGAUAAGUAUCCCACCUGGGGAGUACGUUCGCAAGAAUGAA
Molecule: ribosomal RNA, 379 nt
Filed under: uncultured bacterium
Lineage: Bacteria
Description: bacterial SSU rRNA
Rfam family: Bacterial small subunit ribosomal RNA
Source: RNAcentral